UCCAGUUACUGGGAGGCCUCGGUGGGUUUUAGAUCCUUCUGAAUGACUCGCGGCGGGGCCUGCAGCCCCUGCGUGCACUGCGCCCCAGCCGCGGCGCGCACACAACCGCAGCCACACCUCCUCCGGCUCCGGGACCCCUGGGCAGUGUUACUCUGCCUCUGGGCCCUGGCAACACCGCCCGCUUCCUCCCCUCCCGGACAGACCCCCCCGCCUCCCAGCGCCAGGGCGGCGUCCUGAUUGGCCCAAGCCCAAGAGCAAGCUGAGCUCCCUGACGGUGAUUGGUUGGAAGUGGGCCCCGCGUGCAGCCUGGGCCACGUUCCUGGCUCGCUCGCUCCGGAGACACCCUGAGAGACGCCGUCCUCUCGAGACUGUGUCUGGAUGUCCAGCUCGACGGGGACCCGGAGCCCCAUGGGCCGAAGCUGGUGCCACCCUACCUUCAGCCGCCUGGUGUGAAAUAACACGUGGCACCGUUUUCUGUGCCCGAUGCCAGAAGCAUCCUCGCUGCUCCCUGAUUCUAUAAAUGCUGAAAACACCUCCCGGGCUUCUGCGGAGUCAAGUCCUCCUUUGGUUUUGCCCCGGCUCGCCUGGGGCAUUUUCCUCUCUUCCUCGUUUGCACGCUCUUUGCUUGACCCUCUCUGGUGACCAGCUCUUUAGUGAGAAUCACGUCUGGUUACACUUCCACCCAAGUCCCCCUGCCGCCCAGAAGCAGCGAAGAGACUGGGGACUUACACAUGCUAAUUCUUAGCCUCGCCUCUGGGCCAUUAUUACCCUGAUUUUACAUACAAGCGCGGUCACUGGAGCUCAGAGAGGUUGACGGGCUUGUCUGAGGUCACAAAGCUGGCAGCUGACAGAAACAGAAAUCGAGUCCUUACUAGACAGUCUCGUGGCACCUGGGCUGCUCCACGGCCCUGCCUGGGCCUCUGCCGUCCACCGUCUCACCCGCCCUGCUGGCCCCUGCUCUUCACCAUGUCCUCACCCUGACCUGGCUUCACCGUCCAGGAGCAGGAGAGGGAGACACCUCCACCGCAUGGAAGAGGAAGGAAGGGGGUGUGAGGUGUCGUUGUCACACAGCAUCACAGACCACCAAGGUCCUCGGUGACACACGACGACGAGCUAGGCAUCCCUGCUCCACUGGCUCUAGGCUUGCCCACGUGACUCACUUAGGCCAGCGGACAUCUGGCGAGAGUCCCACGUGAUGGUUCUGGGGAGAACGCGUCUGUUCCCAUCGAUGUCUUGCACUUUGGCCAUCACCACGAGGAAAGGCUUCCUCGGAGCAGCUGCCGCCCCUUGAGCUGGGCCCAGAAUGCACACACCUGGAGUGGAGUCAUCCCUGAGCUCCGCAGGGAGAAGCUGAGGCUUCCAGCCACGCCCAGCCUAGAACAGGGACUCCAGGCCAAGCGCGGACGCUGCUCGAGGCCAACUGAGGUGAGCAGAGCUGCCCAGCUGCCCCUGUAGACGCUUAUGAGGUGGCAUGAGGUUCUGGUUAUUGGCUACGUGUGUGGUGGUGAAGAUCCUCUGUGCUCGGUCGGGGUACCCAUUCAGUUGUCUACAGGAGAUGUGGAUGAAAGACUGAGGACAAUGGCAGGAGUUCUCCAGCUUGGGGAAAGAGGAGGGACCACAAGGUCAGUCUAGACCCUGCCUGCUGGUGGAUGCCUCGCUUGUGCCCCUCCAUGCUGUGCUAGUAUUUUGGCAGACCUUCAUUACAGGUCAAUAAAAGUUACAUAAAUGAAAUGGG
This is a long non-coding RNA of Herpailurus yagouaroundi (jaguarundi), 1735 nucleotides long. RefSeq lists it as uncharacterized. The record is from RefSeq and is a predicted model, not a curated record. NCBI's taxonomy places the organism in Eukaryota, Metazoa, Chordata, Mammalia, Carnivora, Felidae. The transcript has 2 exons.